RNAcentral lists this ribosomal RNA (504 nucleotides) under uncultured bacterium. RNAcentral describes it as "bacterial SSU rRNA". It matches the Rfam family "Bacterial small subunit ribosomal RNA", at positions 791 to 1296 of the family's 1533-position model. The record is from RNAcentral.
UAGUCCACGCCGUAAACGUUGGGCACUAGGUGUGGGGAUUUAUCAACGAUCUCCGCGCCGUCGCUAACGCAUUAAGUGCCCCGCCUGGGGAGUACGUCGGCAACGAUGAAACUCAAAGGAAUUGACGGGGGCCCGCACAAGCGGUGGAGCAUGUGGUUUAAUUCGAUGAUACGCGAGGAACCUUACCAGGGCUUAAAUGCAGUCUGACAGCUUUAGAGAUAGAGUUUUCUUCGGACAGAUUGCAAGGUGCUGCAUGGUUGUCGUCAGCUCGUGCCGUGAGGUGUCAGGUUAAGUCCUAUAACGAGCGCAACCCCUGUUGUUAGUUGCCAGCGAGUAAUGUCGGGAACUCUAGCAAGACUGCCGGUGCAAACCGUGAGGAAGGUGGGGACGACGUCAAAUCAUCACGGCCCUUACGUCCUGGGCUACACACGCGCUACAAUGGCAGGUACAGAGGGCAGCCACUGCGCAAGCAGGAGCGAAUCCCAAAAGCCUGUCUCAGUUCGG